CCUACGGGAGGCAGCAGUGGGGAAUUUUGGACAAUGGGCGCAAGCCUGAUCCAGCAAUGCCGCGUGAGUGAAGAAGGCCUUCGGGUUGUAAAGCUCUUUUGUCAGGGAAGAAACGGCAGUUUCUAAUACAGAUUGCUAAUGACGGUACCUGAAGAAUAAGCACCGGCUAACUACGUGCCAGCAGCCGCGGUAAUACGUAGGGUGCAAGCGUUAAUCGGAAUUACUGGGCGUAAAGCGUGCGCAGGCGGUUUUGUAAGUUUGUCGUGAAGUCCCCGGGCUCAACCUGGGAAUGGCGAUGAAGACUGCAAGGCUAGAAUCUGGCAGAGGGGGGUAGAAUUCCACGUGUAGCAGUGAAAUGCGUAGAGAUGUGGAGGAACACCGGAUGGCGAAGGCAGCCCCCUGGGUCAAGAUUGACGCUCAUGCACGAAAGCGUGGGGAGCAAAACGAGGAUUAGACUACCCGUGGUAGUCCACGCCCUAAACGAUGUCUACUAGUUGUCGGUUUUAAUUAACUUGGUAACGNAGNACGCGUGAGUAGACGCCGNGGGAGGUACGGUCGCGAAGAGUAAACGUUAACGAAAGUAAGUUAGUUAGGCGUUGNGAGNGCGACGGACGACGACGAGGGAGGAGG
Molecule: ribosomal RNA, 630 nt
Filed under: uncultured bacterium
Lineage: Bacteria
Description: bacterial SSU rRNA
Rfam family: Bacterial small subunit ribosomal RNA (bases 1-542)
Source: RNAcentral